AUAUGUCAAUUUCCAGAAAGUAUUUACAGAUAGCUCUUUGAACGGAGGUAUGUUUCCGGACUUCCACAAGAAUGCUAACACCGACCAGUUCUUCCGAGUUAAAUUAAUGCAUUGGAAAUUUGAGUGGUGACGAAAACGGUUUAGAAAGAGAAGGGAAGUCAUAGUUUAAAGUUACUCUCAAAAUGAAGUAGGCAUUCGUUACCAUCUUAUAACUUCGAUUGGAAUGGCCAUAGGUGACGCCCUGAUUAACUUUUCGUAUGUUUACCAACAACAAAAUAGGGUGCCUCCUGGAAAAAGCGUCCAACGCACGCCCUUUCAAAGAAAACAUUAAAAACUGUAUAUCACUAAAAAGCUUGAAAACAAAAUAACGUUUUACCGAUUUUGUUUCGAUAGGCGCGCGCGAGCCAUUAAAUACAAUACUGGCAGGGCUCGCUUUACUGAAUUACCAGCCAAAGCGUUACCGCAGACCUUCAAACAAACUGGACUGUAUACGUAGCAGUCAGUAGAUAAUAGGUUAUGUAAUUGUGAAAGGCUUUUUAUAUAUACCCAUUGGCUCCUGAAAGUCUUUUUUGAAGUUGGACAAUAGAAAAUAUUUCACUUUUUGUCACGUUCCGGGAUGUUACGAGAAAAAUGUUUUGAAUUUCGUAAUAAUCUCACACUCUCACAAACACUGAGGUGAAUGAUUGUUUCAGAAUGGAUCAGAAAAAAGGCAAAGAAAUCAGUUUAUCUCUGUCAAUAUACCAAAAAAUGGUCUUAAAUUAAUCUCGAUGUACCAUGUUGUCUCUUCGGCUGCUUGGAGGUGAAUGGUAUUUGCAUGCUUAUCACGUUCCGAAACAGCCAAUCAGCGAGCGUGAAAAGCACUAUUCACCUGUGUGUGUACUAAUUAAUGUAAUUAUUGUGACUAGAUUGCAUAGAUAAGGACCGAAGGUGUCGCUAUUGGACUCGGUACUGCCCAUGGCAUUCGUAUGUGCGGACAAAUUGCAUGAAGACAUGCAAACUCUGCUAAAUUCAGCCAUCAAAACCCACGAGGCUCGAAGCGACCUGAAUUUAAGGCAAAGUUCUCACUUAUGUACUUGAACAGAGCAAAUUAAAGUGUUUUAAACAACA
This is a non-coding RNA of Pocillopora verrucosa, 1107 nucleotides long. The record is from RefSeq and is a predicted model, not a curated record. Lineage: Eukaryota; Metazoa; Cnidaria; Anthozoa; Scleractinia; Pocilloporidae.